Molecule: ribosomal RNA, 483 nt
Filed under: uncultured bacterium
Lineage: Bacteria
Description: partial 16S ribosomal RNA
Rfam family: Bacterial small subunit ribosomal RNA
Source: RNAcentral
AUUGAACGCUGGCGGCAGGCCUAACACAUGCAAGUCGAGCGGAUGAAGGGAGCUUGCUCCUGGAUUCAGCGGCGGACGGGUGAGUAAUGCCUAGGAAUCUGCCUGGUAGUGGGGGAUAACGUCCGGAAACGGGCGCUAAUACCGCAUACGUCCUGAGGGAGAAAGUGGGGAUCUUCGGACCUCACCCUAUCAGAUGAGCCUAGGUCGGAUUAGCUAGUUGGUGGGGUAAAGGCCUACCAAGGCGACGAUCCGUAACUGGUCUGAGAGGAUGAUCAGUCACACUGGAACUGAGACACGGUCCAGACUCCUACGGGAGGCAGCAGUGGGGAAUAUUGGACGAUGGGCGAAAGCCUGAUCCAGCCAUGCCGCGUGUGUGAAGAAGGUCUUCGGAUUGUAAAGCACUUUAAGUUGGGAGGAAGGGCAGUAAGUUAAUACCUUGCUGUUUUGACGUUACCAACAGAAUAAGCACCGGCUAACUUCGUG